AUUCCACCUUGUAGAGGAAAGUGAAAAUGAAGCAAAUGGAAGGAGUUCUUCAUAUAUUCUGAAUCAGAAUCCUUUCACCCAGUUGGACAAGAACAUGAGUAAGGUGGAGAAAAUAAUCCCUUGUCUGAUUUCAUCUUCCUACCAAUCUAUCAGUUGUGUGCACAGUGAGGAGAUAGAAGUAAAACACAGCUAUCGUCUUCAAUUUAAGACCUCUACAUUGAAAACUAAAAAAAAAGUAUAUUCUUGAGAGAAAUGAAAGAAGACUUAAAUAAGUGGAAGGAUAUAUCAUGUUCUUCAAAUGGAUGAUUUCCAGUAGUGUACUUUAUUCAACUGUGUCCUUCAAGAUUGUUUUUCUAUUCUUAGCUGUUUGACUUUUAUAUAAAUAUUACAAUUAGAUAAUUAAUCUCUAAAAAAAUCCUGCUGAUAGUUUGAUUGAAGUUUCCAUGGUGCUUUCCAGCACCAUUUCGUAUAUCAGACUUGUGGGCUUUUUUCGUCACACCAACAAAUGUCUCAACUCUCUACACACCAAUUGAGCAUCCUACAAUUCAGUUCAGAUCUGACACUAUCUACCUGAAGUUAGCAUUGGGUCCCAGGAGUCAACAAGUCAUUCCUAUAAGACUUUCCUCACUUCAGUCCCAGCCACAAGUCUCAGUUUGUCACCCAUACUUCUGGGUGAACAACUAUAAAUUCAGGGGCUCUCACAACCACCUCCUAGGGUUUGAUAAUUCGCUAAAACAAGUCACAAACUCAGGAAAGUGUUUGAUUUACUAUUGCUGGUUUCUUAUAAAGAAUACAACUCAAGAACAGUCCAAUGGAAGAGUAAGAUAUGGGGGAGCAGAGGCAAAAGCUUCCCUGCCCUCUCCAUGUGCCCCAACCUCCUACCACCUCAAUGUGUUCACCAAUCCGGAAGCUCCAUAAACCCCAUCAUUUAGGAGUUUUUAAGGAGGUUUCAUCUGGUAAGCCUGAUUGACCAAAUAAUUGGCCCUUGUGGGUGAGGCUGAAAGUUCCAAUCCUCUAAUCAUGGCUUGGUCUUUCUGGUGACCAGCUGGCAUCCUGAAGCUCUCUAGAGAUAACCAGCCACCAGUCAUCUUAUUAGCAUAAAAAGACACCCCUAUUACUCCAAAGUAUCCAAGAG
Molecule: long non-coding RNA, 1135 nt
Filed under: Homo sapiens (human)
Lineage: Eukaryota; Metazoa; Chordata; Mammalia; Primates; Hominidae
Description: HSALNT0213651
Source: RNAcentral